UACGGAGGGUGCAAACGUUGUCCGGAAUCACUGGGCGUAAAGCGCAUGUAGGUGGUUUGGUAAGUCUGCGAUUAAAGACCGUCGCUUAACGACGGGAAUGUUACAGAUACUACUUUACUUGAGGAUAGCAGGGGUACAUGGAACUUUGAGUGUAGGAGUGAUAUCCGUAGAUAUUACACAGAACACCAAUUGCGUAGGCAGCUUACUGAGCCGACACUGACGCUGAGGCACGAAAGCGUGGGGAUCGAACAGG
Molecule: ribosomal RNA, 253 nt
Filed under: uncultured bacterium
Lineage: Bacteria
Description: partial 16S ribosomal RNA
Rfam family: Bacterial small subunit ribosomal RNA
Source: RNAcentral